Molecule: long non-coding RNA, 524 nt
Filed under: Homo sapiens (human)
Lineage: Eukaryota; Metazoa; Chordata; Mammalia; Primates; Hominidae
Description: HSALNT0085058
Source: RNAcentral
UGAGGGAAGCAGCUAGCAUUGGUUCAGUGGUUUGACAAUUUCUGAAAUUCUCUUGGGAUUUCUCAUGUUUACUUCCUGGUUGCAAGAUGACUGCAGUAGCUUUCAGCAUUGCAGUCUGCCUUCAAGAAAGAAGGAAGAAGGAGCCAUGCCAGGAAUUAUAUCAGCAAGACCAGCCCCUCCUCUUCCUCCUCCUUCUCAGCCUACUCAGCAUGAAGACAAUGAGGAUGAAGACCUUUAAGAUGAUCCACUUCCACUUAAUAAAAAAUAUAUUUUUCUUCCUUCUGAUUUUCUUAACAUUUUCUUUUCUCUAGCUUGCUUUAUUGUAAGAAUAUAGUAUAUAAUAUACAUAACGCAUAUAAUAUAUGUGUUGACUGUUUAUGUUAUUGGUAGGGCUUCCACUCAACAAUAGGCAAUCAGUAGUUAAGUUCUGGGGGAGUAAAAAGUUAUAUGCAGACUCUCAACUACAUAGAGGUCAGAGCCCCUAACCCAUUUGUUGUUCAAGAGUCAAUUGUAUUCUCAACGAG